This 471-nucleotide ribosomal RNA is filed under the name uncultured bacterium. Its description in RNAcentral is "SSU rRNA". It matches the Rfam family "Bacterial small subunit ribosomal RNA", at positions 26 to 518 of the family's 1533-position model. The record is from RNAcentral.
AGGACGAACGCUGGCGGCGUGCUUAACACAUGCAAGUCGAGCGGAAAGGCCCUUCGGGGUACUCGAGCGGCGAACGGGUGAGUAACACGUGAGUAAUCUGCCCCUAGCUCUGGGAUAGCUCCGGGAAACCGGGAUUAAUACCAGAUACGACCACUUUAGACAUCUGUUGUGGUGGAAAGAAUUUUGGCUAGGGAUGAGCUCGCGGCCUAUCAGCUUGUUGGUGAGGUAACGGCUCACCAAGGCGACGACGGGUAGCCGGCCUGAGAGGGCGACCGGCCACACUGGGACUGAGACACGGCCCAGACUCCUACGGGAGGCAGCAGUGGGGAAUAUUGCGCAAUGGGCGAAAGCCUGACGCAGCGACGCCGCGUGGGGAUGAAGGCCUUCGGGUUGUAAACCCCUUUCAGCAGGGACGAAGCGAAAGUGACGGUACUGCAGAGAAGCGCCGGCUAACUACGCGCCAGCAGCCGC